Molecule: ribosomal RNA, 244 nt
Filed under: uncultured bacterium
Lineage: Bacteria
Description: partial small subunit ribosomal RNA
Rfam family: Bacterial small subunit ribosomal RNA
Source: RNAcentral
AGAAUCAACGCUGGCGGCGUGCCUAACACAUGCAAGUCGCACGAGAAAGGGGAGCAAUCCCUGAGUAAAGUGGCGCACGGGUGAGUAACACGUGAAUAAUCUACCUCCGGGUGGGGAAUAACUGAGAGAAAUCUUAGCUAAUACCGCAUAACACUUACGAGUCAAAGCAGCAAUGCGCUUGGAGAGGAGUUCGCGGCCGAUUAGUUAGUUGGCGGGGUAAUGGCCCACCAAGACGAUGAUCGGU